RNAcentral lists this ribosomal RNA (253 nucleotides) under uncultured bacterium. Its description in RNAcentral is "partial 16S ribosomal RNA". It matches the Rfam family "Bacterial small subunit ribosomal RNA", at positions 524 to 776 of the family's 1533-position model. The record is from RNAcentral.
UACGUAGGGUGCGAGCGUUAAUCGGAAUUACUGGGCGUAAAGCGUGCGCAGGCGGUUUUGUAAGUCAGAUGUGAAAUCCCCGAGCUCAACUUGGGAACUGCGUUUGAAACUACAAGACUAGAAUAUGUCAGAGGGGGGUAGAAUUCCACGUGUAGCAGUGAAAUGCGUAGAGAUGUGGAGGAAUACCAAUGGCGAAGGCAGCCCCCUGGGAUAACACUGACGCUCAUGUACGAAAGCGUGGGUAGCAAACAGG